CAGGAUGAAGCUUAUUAGCUCAGCACUUCGCUUACACCGAAACUUUCCCCGUGCAAGUCGGGUCACCCUG
This 70-nucleotide transfer RNA is filed under the name Cyclothone signata (showy bristlemouth). RNAcentral's name for it is "tRNA-Val". Lineage: Eukaryota; Metazoa; Chordata; Actinopteri; Stomiiformes; Gonostomatidae. The record is from RNAcentral.